GGACAGUUUCUGAGCCCAGUGCUGCACCUCGCCACUAUGGAGCAUGAUGGCAAGAAAGUCAUUUCCACAGUAAAUCAGGACAAACGCCAAACAGGAGGCAGUUCUGUGGUCAUGGGAAAACUUGCCUUCAGGAGGACGAUGGACAGCAUCUGAGCGGGAUGAGCAAGCGUGAAGGAGUUUUGCACAGAAGCAAACAUCAGUAUGUCUGCACUGUUCAAGAGUGGUGAAUACAGAGACCGUGGCGUCCAGCACAGUCUCCAUAUCUGGCAUGGUGCAAAAACCCUCGGCAAAAACACUGUAGCGCUGGACGUGAGAAGCAGUGUGCUUCGCUCCUCCGUUGGAGUAGAGAUUUCACCAACCAUGUUUGGUGUUGCUGCCAGGAAGCGCCAACAUAUGAAGCAUUCAUGCUGUUUUUAUAAAGGGUCUGUGGACUGGAUGUAACAGAUGAACACCAGUGGUGCUUCGGUUCCUGCAGGCCUGGUCCCUCGGAUGAGACAGGAAGGACUAGGGAAUGGAUUCUGAAAGGCUCUGCAGCACAGCACCGCCUUCAGCAAACAGUCCUGGAUGCACGUUGGUGAAAAACAUCACAAAGUAUCUCCGUUCAGGUCUACUGCAGAGCUGGAGGCCUUCACAGUCGGGCAUUAACAGAAACGUCGACGAGUCGACAAGUCGACUUGUCGACUUCCGUUGCACAAGUCGACGUAAAUUUGGACGAGUCGAAAAGUCGUAGGUUAUUCUUUCUCCCACCUGAUCACCCGACAGAGCGCAAGUCUCCAUCAGCGCGUGUGGAUGUGCUCAUCUUUCUCCAGGAAAACAUGCAGCGCAGCCCAAGAAUGUGAGGGAAGGUGACCCAGAGUAGGGUUACUAAACUGACUGUGAUCUAAGGAUGUUACUACAAUAAGGAUUAUUUUUUACCCUUUGUCUUUAGAGGCUGGUGACUUCUAUUUUCUUUAUUUUUAUUGCAGCUGAAGUUAGUUUGUCAUUGAUGCCCAUGUGGUUCUGAAGUAUUUAAUUUCCAUUUAUUUCACGUUGAAAACUCUUUUCUAAGUAAUUUUCUGUGAACCAUGCAAGUAAGACCAGUAUUGAGUUAUAGUUCCGACAGCCAUUGGGUUUUGAUUGCUUUAUUUAUUUAAUUGAGGCACGUUGCAGGCUGAAGUUGGUUUCUGGUUGGUGCCUAUUUGCAGUUCUGAAGUAUGAUUUCCAUUUAUUUCACGAUAAAACUGCUGUCUAACCAAUGUUCUGUGAACCAUGCAAGGAAGACCAAUAUUGAAUUAUAAUUUUGGCAGCCAUUGGUUUUUGAUUAUUGUGGUAUUUAUUUCAUGAAGACAACGCACGCUAUUUUUUUUCCAAAACAUGAUGAAGACACGCGGUGUGCAUCUUGGCUGCUGCUGCUUUAAAUGUAAAAGACAACUCACAGCGUUAGCCUUUAUUUUGUUCGGGUUAAAGUCUACAUGGCUGCGUUGCAGUGAACUUUAAUGCAACUUGCUCGUUGCUGGACAGCUGUGUGUCCAUGUUGCCCCCCCCCCCCCCCCCCCCCCCUCCCCCCCCCGGUCAACGUGAUUAAUGCCCUAGUUCACAGCCUCAUACUGAUGAAAGCAUCAAAGCGCUUCGCGUUUUCCCCGCCUGUUCACCGGGCCAGAGGGAUGUUGGUGGACUUGAUUUCAGCCAUCCCCUGAAUGGAGGACCACCAACAAAAGCCGAAGGUAUGGCAGGAUUUACAACAACAAAUCCAACAUGUGGCGACUCCACACUGUCAAAACACCCAGACAGGGCUCCCCAUCCCAGAGCUCCGCAGGGCCAUCCUCCGGCGGAGGCUCGGAGCAGCCAGAGGGCUGUCAGAGAGAACCCUGAGCUGGUGCAGGCCCAGCAGAGCAGGAAGAGCAGAUUGAAACAGCCAGCAGUGGGCGGGUGGGAGCGACGCUCAGCCUGUAUGAAAGGGAAGCAUGAACUGGUUUUAAAGUAAGCUGCGAUUUGUGUCUCUCUGUUCUCUCUGAAACUGUAUGAUCUGCAUUUAUUUCCAGUUUUGGGAUUCUGUGUUUACAUGUGAGCGACGUAAUGACCUGAUCGAGGAGCCAAUCUUUAUGUUUCACUUGACACGGUGUUGAAAGAUAUAUAUUAUAAAGAUCUUUAUUACUGUUUUUAUAAACUGUCGUGUUAAUCUUCUGGACGGCCAGCCAGCCGUGGACAGACGUGCCUCACAUGUCAGUAUUGUUCUUAUUCUGUGUUGCGAAUGUGUGUUGCUACACAUUU
Long non-coding RNA from Salarias fasciatus (jewelled blenny), 2250 nucleotides. RefSeq lists it as uncharacterized. Lineage: Eukaryota; Metazoa; Chordata; Actinopteri; Blenniiformes; Blenniidae. The record is from RefSeq and is a predicted model, not a curated record. The transcript is spliced from 6 exons.